UAAUCAACAAAUAAUAGUGUGUUCAGUAAAAUUGUUGAUGGUAAAAAAAAUAAAUACUUUUUUGUUAAUUGUUUACAAUGUAUAGAGUAUAUAACACAUAUAACAGUUAUUAUGAUAAUUGUAGAACAUAUAUUGUUUUUAUGAGUAAUUUACAAAAACAUUUUGAAUCUAAAAUUUAACAUCCUAAUAGUAUUUCUUGUUAGGGUUACCACCUUUUAGUGUCAAAAAUACAGUAGGCAUUUUUUU
This is a non-coding RNA of Cinara cedri, 246 nucleotides long. The record is from the annotation of a GenBank genome assembly. NCBI's taxonomy places the organism in Eukaryota, Metazoa, Arthropoda, Insecta, Hemiptera, Aphididae.